GACGGUGUGGUGUAGUGGUUCGGGUGUUGAACUGAGACUCUGGAGAUCAGGGUUCGAUUCCCCGCUCAAGCA
Non-coding RNA from Phrynosoma platyrhinos (Desert horned lizard), 72 nucleotides. The record is from the annotation of a GenBank genome assembly. NCBI's taxonomy places the organism in Eukaryota, Metazoa, Chordata, Lepidosauria, Squamata, Phrynosomatidae.